Molecule: ribosomal RNA, 2987 nt
Filed under: Haloferax volcanii DS2
Lineage: Archaea; Methanobacteriati; Methanobacteriota; Halobacteria; Halobacteriales; Haloferacaceae
Description: bacterial LSU rRNA
Rfam family: Archaeal large subunit ribosomal RNA
Source: RNAcentral
UGGCUACUGUGCCAGCUGGUGGAUAGCUCGGCUCGAGAGCCGAUGACGGACGUGCCAAGCUGCGAUAAGCCUCAGGGACCCGCAUGGAGGGAAAGAACUGAGGAUCUCCGAAUGGGAAUCCCCACGCAAUUGCCUCGCGCAAUGGGGAACGUUCCGAAUUGAAACAUCUUAGUAGGAACAGGAAAAGAAAGCAAUCCGCGAUGUCGUUAGUAACGGCGAGUAAACGCGACACAGUCCAAACCGAAGCCUUCGGGCAAUGUGGUGUACGGACUACCCAUAACGGACCUGGGUCUUAUGUGAAGUCUCCUGGAACGGAGCGUGAUACAGGGUGAAAACCCCGUAACAUAAGAACCAGAUCCCGGGGUUGUUCCAGAAUAGCGGGGGUUGGAUAUCCCUCGUGAAUUUCGCAGGCAUCAACUGCGAAGACUAAACACUCCUCGAGACCGAUAGCGAACAAGUAGCGUGAGCGAACGCUGAAAAGCACCCCGAACAGGGCGGUGCAAUAGGGCUUGAAAUCAGUUGGCGAUAGAGCGACGUGGCAUACAAGGUCACUCGACGAAAGAACUGGGAGCGAUCCCGUAGUAUGACUCGAGUGAAGCCGAUGUUACGUCGUACGUUUUGAAAAACGAACCAUGGAGUGCAUCUGACUGGCGAGUCUAAGGGGUGAACCCCCGGAGGCAUAGGGAAACCGAUACGGCCGCAGUCUUUGACCAGGGCCACCGUCUUCAAGGGCGGGGAGCCAACCGGAUGCGACCCGAAACCAAGUGAUCUACGCCGGAGCAGGGCGAAGCGUGGCGAAAGCUGCGUGGAGGCCCGUUAGAGUUGGUGUCCUACAAUACCCUCUCGUGACUCUGGUGUAGGGGNCCGGAGCAGGGCGAAGCGUGGCGAAAGCUGCGUGGAGGCCCGUUAGAGUUGGUGUCCUACAAUACCCUCUCGUGACUCUGGUGUAGGGGUGAAAGGCCCAUCGAACUUGGCAACAGCUGGUUCCAACCGAAACAUGUCGAAGCAUGACCUCUGAUGAGAUAGUUCGUGAGGUAGAGCGACCGAUUGGGAAUCCGGACUCCGAGAGGAGUUCGCUUCCCUGUCAAACUCCGAACUUACGAACGUCGUAGACUCAGGGAGUCCGGUGUGCGGGGUAAGCUUGUGCACCGUGAGGGAGACAACCCAGAGCCAGGUUAAGGACCCAAAGUGUGGAUUAAGUGUGAUUGAAGAUUGUCUCGAGCCCUAAACAGCCGGGAGGUGAGCUUAGAAGCAGCUACCCUCUAAGAAUAGCGUAACAGCUUACCGGCCGAGGUUCGAGGCGUCGAAAAUGAUCGGGACUCAAAUCCACCUCCGAGACCUGGCGGCGUGUCUUAUGACACGAUUCCGUAGGUUGGCAUACUGCAUGGGUGGAAGCACGGGUGAGAACUCGUGUGGACCGUGCAGCAACGAAAAUCAUGGUCUCAGUAGCAGCGAGAGUCGGGUGUGAACCCCGACGGCCUUACGCGCAAGGGUUCCUCGGCACUGUCAAUCAGCCGAGGGUUAGUCGAUCCUAAGUCUAACCGUAAUUCGAAUUAGAUGAAAGGGAAACUGGUUAAUAUUCCAGUACCUUCUUGCACCAAACGUCGACGCUUUAGGAAACACCGAGCGGGGCCUUCGCCCCGUCGAAUCACCGAAAUUCGUGGAAGCCGUAACGGCACGAAGCGAACGAACGGUGAGAUAGGGAAACUCGGCGGUACCUAGAGCCCGUGAAAAGACAAGCAAGAAGCUCGUACCGAGAUCCGACACAGGUGCGCUGGCAGAGCAAGCCAAGGCCUGUCGGGAUCAACCGACGUUAGGGAAUUCGGCAAGUUAGUCCCGUAAGUUCGCGAUAAGGGAUGCCUGCUCUUGACCGAGCAGGUCGCAGUGACUCGGACGCUCCGACUGUCUAGUAACAACAUAGGUGACCGCAAAUCCGCAAGGACUCGUACGGUCACUGAAUCCUGCCCAGUGCGGGUAUCUGAACACCCAUUACAAUGGGACGAAGGACCCGUCAACGGCGGGGGUAACUAUGACCCUCUUAAGGUAGCGUAGUACCUUGCCGCUUCAGUAGCGGCUUGCAUGAAUGGAUCAACGAGAGCGUCACUGUCCCAACGUUGGGCCCGGUGAACAGUACGUUCCAGUGCGGAGUCUGGAGACCCCCAAGGGGAAGCGAAGACCCUAUAGAGCUUUACUGCAGGCUGUCGCUGAGACGUGGUCGCUAAUGUGCAGCAUAGGUAGGAGCCAUUACACAGGUACCCGCGCCAGCGGGCCACCGAGGCAGCAUUGAAAUACUACCCGUUAGUGACUGCGACUCUCACUCCUGGCGGAGGACACCGGUAGCCGGGCAGUUUGACUGGGGCGGUACGCGCUCGAAAAGAUAUCGAGCGCGCCCAAAGAUUUCCUCACGCGAGUCGGGAACUCGUGGAAGAGCGCAAGAGCAAACGGAAGUCUGACAGUGACAUUCCCAACGAGUGUCGCUGACGCGAAAGCGUGGUCUAGCGAACCUACGAGGUUCAUUCAUGGGACCCGUAGAUGACAGAAAAGCUACCUUAGGGAUAACAGAGUCGUCACCGGCAAGAGCACAUAUCGACCCGGUGGCUUGCUACCUCGAUGUCGGUUCCCUCCAUCCUGCCUGUGCAGAAGCAGGCAAGGGUGAGGUUGUUCGCCUAUUAAAGGAGGUCGUGAGCUGGGUUUAGACCGUCGUGAGACAGGUCGGCUGCUAUCUAUUGGGGGUGUUAAGGAACUUGACGUGAACGUUCGUAUAGUACGAGAGGAACUACGAAUGGGUGCCACUGGUGUACCGGUUGUCCGAGAGGGCAGAUGCCGGGCAGCUACGCACCACGGGGUAAGAGCUGAACGCAUCUAAGCUCGAAACCCACACGGAAAAGAAGUUCCACUGAGGACACUCGUAGAAGACGAGUUCGAUAGACUCGGGGUGUACGCAACGAGGUAACGAGUUGUUAAGCCCGCGAGCACUAACAGUCCAA